This 453-nucleotide ribosomal RNA is filed under the name uncultured Prevotellaceae bacterium. RNAcentral describes it as "bacterial SSU rRNA". It matches the Rfam family "Bacterial small subunit ribosomal RNA", at positions 341 to 792 of the family's 1533-position model. The record is from RNAcentral. Lineage: Bacteria; Pseudomonadati; Bacteroidota; Bacteroidia; Bacteroidales; Prevotellaceae.
ACGGGAGGCAGCAGUGAGGAAUAUUGGUCAAUGGACGGAAGUCUGAACCAGCCAAGUCGCGUGAAGGAUGAAGGUAUUAUGUAUUGUAAACUUCUUUAGACGCAGAGAAAUAAGGCGCUCGGGAGCGCUGAUGCUAGUAUGCGUAGAAUAAGGAUCGGCUAACUCCGUGCCAGCAGCCGCGGUAAUACGGAGGAUCCGAGCGUUAUCCGGAUUUAUUGGGUUUAAAGGGAGCGCAGGCGGAGAUGUAAGCCAGCCGUCAAAUCGUGGUGCUCAACGCCAUCCAGCGGUUGGAACUGCAUCCCUUGAGUGCACUAGAGGAAGGUGGAAUUCGUGGUGUAGCGGUGAAAUGCAUAGAUAUCACGAAGAACUCCGAUUGCGAAGGCAGCCUUCUGGGGUGUUACUGACGCUCAUGCUCGAAGGUGCGGGUAUCAAACAGGAUUAGAUACCCUGGUA